UUGCUAUUGGAACUUAGUGGCGAACGGGUGAGUAACACGUAGAUAACCUGCCUGUAUGACCGGGAUAACAGUUGGAAACGACUGCUAAUACCGGAUAGGCAGAGAGGAGGCAUCUCUUCUCUGUUAAAGUUGGGAUACAACGCAAACAGAUGGAUCUGCGGUGCAUUAGCUAGUUGGUGAGGUAACGGCCCACCAAGGCGAUGAUGCAUAGCCGGCCUGAGAGGGCGAACGGCCACAUUGGGACUGAGAUACGGCCCAGACUCC
RNAcentral lists this ribosomal RNA (264 nucleotides) under uncultured Bacillota bacterium. RNAcentral describes it as "uncultured Firmicutes bacterium partial 16S ribosomal RNA". It matches the Rfam family "Bacterial small subunit ribosomal RNA", at positions 79 to 339 of the family's 1533-position model. The record is from RNAcentral. Lineage: Bacteria; Bacillati; Bacillota.